This 284-nucleotide long non-coding RNA is filed under the name Calidris pugnax (ruff). Its description in RNAcentral is "lncRNA (ENSCPUG00000003296.1)". Lineage: Eukaryota; Metazoa; Chordata; Aves; Charadriiformes; Scolopacidae. The record is from RNAcentral.
AUCUGCCUUCAUCUUCAGUGGGAACAGAACUUCAAAGACACAGGAAUCACCCAUAGAACCUGAAGGAGUUUCACAUCCUUGGCUUGACCACAGUCUUUCUCCCAGCGCUGCCAGAGUGGCUGUUGGUGUGUGGGCAGCUUUGCCAGAAGAACCUCUCUGAGGCAGGACCAUGCAGGAGCUGGGCAGAGAAGAACCUCCUCUUGGGCUGCAUAACAAGACACAGUACCAAGUCACUGUAUGAUGACGUGCAUAAUGUACAACCGGAGAGGCUGUUACACUCUUGA